RNAcentral lists this ribosomal RNA (918 nucleotides) under uncultured Bacillota bacterium. RNAcentral describes it as "bacterial SSU rRNA". It matches the Rfam family "Bacterial small subunit ribosomal RNA", at positions 58 to 952 of the family's 1533-position model. The record is from RNAcentral. Lineage: Bacteria; Bacillati; Bacillota.
CAAGUCGAACGCGAAAGUCCCCUUCGGGGGAUAAGUAGAGUGGCGUCCGGGUGAGUAACACGUAGGUAAUCUACCUUCAGGUGGGGAAUAACCCAGGGAAACUUGGGCUAAUACCGCAUAAUGCAGCGGCACCACAUGGUGACAGUUGUUAAAGCGGGGGAUCUUCGGAUCUCGCGCCUGAAGAGGAGCCUGCGGCAGAUUAGCUAGUUGGUAAGGUAACGGCUUACCAAGGCGACGAUCUGUAGCCGGCCUGAGAGGGCGGUCGGCCACACUGACACUGACAUACGGGUCAGACUCCUACGGGAGGCAGCAGUCGGGAAUUUUGGGCAAUGGGCGAAAGCCUGACCCAGCAACGCCGCGUGAAGGAUGAAAUCCCUCGGGAUGUAAACUUCGCAAGAAUGGGAAGAAUUAGUAGGGGUUAAUACCCUCUAUGAUGACGGUACCAUUUGUAAGCUCCGGCUAACUCCGUGCCAGCAGCCGCGGUAAUACGGGGGGAGCAAGCGUUGUUCGGAUUUACUGGGCGUAAAGGGCGCGUAGGCGGUCAGCACAAGUCAGUUGUGAAAUCUCCGGGCUUAACUCGGAAAGGUCAACUGAUACUGUGCGACUAGAGUGCAGAAGGGGCAACUGGAAUUCUCGGUGUAGCGGUGAAAUGCGUAGAUAUCGAGAGGAACACCUGCGGCGAAGGCGGGUUGCUGGGCUGACACUGACGCUGAUGCGCGAAAGCCAGGGGAGCGAACGGGAUUAGAUACCCCGGUAGUCCUGGCCUUAAACGAUGGAUGCUUGGUGUCUGGAGUUUUAUAGUCUCCGGGUGCCGUAGCUAACGCGUUAAGCAUCCCGCCUGGGGAGUACGGUCGCAAGACUGAAACUCAAAGGAAUUGACGGGGACCCGCACAAGCGGUGGAGCAUGUGGUUCAAUUC